This 497-nucleotide ribosomal RNA is filed under the name uncultured bacterium. RNAcentral's name for it is "partial 16S ribosomal RNA". It matches the Rfam family "Bacterial small subunit ribosomal RNA", at positions 28 to 507 of the family's 1533-position model. The record is from RNAcentral.
GAUGAACGCUGGCGGCGUGCCUAAUACAUGCAAGUCGAGCGAACAGACGAGGAGCUUGCUCCUCUGACGUUAGCGGCGGACGGGUGAGUAACACGUGGAUAACCUACCUAUAAGACUGGGAUAACUUCGGGAAACCGGAGCUAAUACCGGGUAAUAUAUUGAACCUCAUGGUUCAAUAGUGAAAGACGGUUUUGCUGUCACUUAUAGAUGGAUCCGCGCCGCAUUAGCUAGUUGGUAAGGUAACGGCUUACCAAGGCAACGAUGCGUAGCCGCCCUGAGAGGGGGCUGGGCCACACUGGAACGGAGACACGGUCGACACGACUACGGGGGGCAGCAGCAGGGAAUCUUCCGGCACGGGCGAAAGACUGCCGGAGCAACGCCGCGGGAGUGAUGAAGGUCUUCUGAUCGUAAAAAUCUGCUAUUAGGGAAGAACAAAUGUGUAAGUAACUAUGCACGUCUUGACGGUACCUAAUCAGAAAGCCACGGCUAACUACGUG